AUGGAAUCUUCCCAAAAUGCAGCUCAACUGGCGGCCUCGGAAGAAGAGUAGCUGAACCAAAAGUCCAAACACUACGUCAACGACGUACAGGCCCCUCGUAUGGUAGAAACUACACGGUAUCCGACUGCAAACUGAAACGUGGACACUGCAUUUAUCCUCUCGCAUGUCUUUGCCCUAAGCCACUCCAAGGCGGAUACUACCGUGCGCCACCGGACGAAUAUCAUUGGUACUACGAUAACAGGACAAACAAAUGUGUGAAUCAUACGUAUGAUCCAGCCGGCUGUAACAACUUUGACAAGUUCGAAAAAUGUAACACAUAUUGCAACAAUGCCACCCA
Rhipicephalus microplus (southern cattle tick) is the source of this 337-nucleotide long non-coding RNA. The record is from RefSeq and is a predicted model, not a curated record. NCBI's taxonomy places the organism in Eukaryota, Metazoa, Arthropoda, Arachnida, Ixodida, Ixodidae.